RNAcentral lists this ribosomal RNA (722 nucleotides) under Salmonella enterica subsp. enterica serovar Derby. Its description in RNAcentral is "partial 23S ribosomal RNA". It matches the Rfam family "Bacterial large subunit ribosomal RNA", at positions 1 to 652 of the family's 2925-position model. Lineage: Bacteria; Pseudomonadati; Pseudomonadota; Gammaproteobacteria; Enterobacterales; Enterobacteriaceae. RNAcentral also lists the same sequence under 1 other name. The record is from RNAcentral.
GGGUUGUGAGGUUAAGCGACUAAGCGUACACGGUGGAUGCCCUGGCAGUCAGAGGCGAUGAAGGGCGUGCUAAUCUGCGAUAAGCGCCGGUAAGGUGAUAUGAACCGUUAUAACCGGCGAUACCCGAAUGGGGAAACCCAGUGUGAUUCGUCACACUAUCAUUAACUGAAUCCAUAGGUUAAUGAGGCGAACCGGGGGAACUGAAACAUCUAAGUACCCCGAGGAAAAGAAAUCAACCGAGAUUCCCCCAGUAGCGGCGAGCGAACGGGGAGGAGCCCAGAGCCUGAAUCAGCAUGUGUGUUAGUGGAAGCGUCUGGAAAGGCGCGCGAUACAGGGUGACAGCCCCGUACACAAAAGCGCAUGUGCUGUGAGCUCGAUGAGUAGGGCGGGACACGUGGUAUCCUGUCUGAAUAUGGGGGGACCAUCCUCCAAGGCUAAAUACUCCUGACUGACCGAUAGUGAACCAGUACCGUGAGGGAAAGGCGAAAAGAACCCCGGCGAGGGGAGUGAAAAAGAACCUGAAACCGUGUACGUACAAGCAGUGGGAGCCCCACCACUAAGCCAGUGGUGAACUCCACAUACGCAUCCUUUGCUGAGGAUACGGUUAACGGAGCGAAAGCGACGUUCAACCGCAAAAGAAGCAGAGGGGGCUUAGUGGUGGGGUGACUGCGUACCUUUUGUAUAAUGGGUCAGCGACUUAUAUUCUGUAGCAAGGUUAACCG